UACGGUAGGGGGCAAGCGUUGUCCGGAUUUAUUGGGCGUAAAGAGCGUGUAGGCGGCCAGGUAGGUCUGCUGUGAAAACUCGAGGCUUAACCUCGAGAUGUCGGCGGAAACCAUCUGGCUAGAGUCCGGAAGAGGAGAAUGGAAUUCCCGGUGUAGCGGUGAAAUGCGCAGAUAUCGGGAAGAACACCCGUGGCGAAGGCGGCAUCCUGGACCGGUAUUGACACUGAAAAGCGAAAGCCAGGGGAGCAAACGGG
RNAcentral lists this ribosomal RNA (254 nucleotides) under uncultured bacterium. RNAcentral describes it as "partial 16S ribosomal RNA". It matches the Rfam family "Bacterial small subunit ribosomal RNA", at positions 524 to 776 of the family's 1533-position model. The record is from RNAcentral.